GAUGAACGCUGGCGGCAGGCUUAACACAUGCAAGUCGAACGCAUCGCAAGAUGAGUGGCAGACGGGUGAGUAACGCGUGGGAACAUACCCUUUUCUACGGAAUAGCUCUGGGAAACUGGAAUUAAUACCGUAUACGCCCUACGGGGGAAAGAUUUAUCGGGGAAGGAUUGGCCCGCGUUGGAUUAGCUAGUUGGUGGGGUAAAGGCCUACCAAGGCGACGAUCCAUAGCUGGUCGGAGAGGAUGAUCAGCCACAUUGGGACUGAAACACGGCCCAAACUCGUAGGGGAGGCAGCGGUGGGGAAUGUGGGACAAGGGGCACAAGCCUGUUCCACCCACGCGGCGGGGGUAAUGAGGGCCUUAGGGUUGUAACCCUCUUUCACCGAUAAAGAUAAUGACGUUAGUGGGAGAAGAGGCCCCGGCUAACUUCGUGCCAGCAGCCGCAGUAA
This 447-nucleotide ribosomal RNA is filed under the name uncultured bacterium. RNAcentral describes it as "partial 16S ribosomal RNA". It matches the Rfam family "Bacterial small subunit ribosomal RNA", at positions 28 to 523 of the family's 1533-position model. The record is from RNAcentral.